UUUAUUAUAUAAACCACAAAAGUCUCUAAUAAAACCAGAAAAGGUCCCACGGAUGUGUCGCUUGUGCCAAAAAGUCGCCAUGAGGGUUUUGAAAGUCAAUUUACCUAUAUAGUCAAUUAAGUCUACUACUCUGGAUAUUGCUUUAUGUUCAUACUGUACGCGUAAAACAGGGUUCAUGUUUUUAUCUGGCGUUUGAAAGCACCAUUUCUGACUGCCCCUGAACGCAACAUCGCAGCUCCGCUAAUUUGUCCUGAAGUCUUCUCUGACAACAGAACAUCAUAUUCUCUGUGGUUGACCAUCACUGCUAGUGACUUAUUGCUGACUCUGAGAAGUGACCUGUUGUUUCCUCCUAGGACGUCUUGGUGACUCCUUGGUGUUUUGACAGUGCCUUGCUGGCCAGCGUCUCUCCUCUAUCAUAUUGGCACUCUGUCUAUCCUAUACCUUCUAUCCACUCUGUCUCAAUAUUGGAACCUCUAUCUAUCCUGUCACAUCUACUGCUCUGUCUCAAUAUUGGAACCUCUAUCUAUCCUGUCACAUCUACUGCUCUGUCUUUGAUAUCAACAAUUCUAUCUUUCUAUCCCCCUUCUAUCCCACCUCAGGUUACAAGCACCUGAUCUACCUUUACUGAACCACAUAACGUUGGUUACCCUUGAUUACAACAACCUCAGGUUACAAGUACCUGAUCUACCUUUACUGAACCACAUAACGUUGGUUAUCCUUGAUUACAACAACCUCAGGUUACAAGUACCUGAUCUACCUUUACUGAACCACAUAACGUUGGUUACCCUUGAUUACAACAACCUCAGGUUACAAGUACCUGAUCUACCUUUGCUGAACCACAUAACGUUGGUUACCCUUGGUUACAACAACCUCAGGUUACAAUACUAGUACUAUUUACAAAUUGGGCAAAGCUUUUGGAAUAAACUGAGACUUUUUUAGUUCGAAUUUGUUUCUGUUGAAUUUGUUUCAAUCUGUAAACAACAGUUACAGGAUAUUUGUACACUUUGUCAGAAUUAUAUUUUUUAUAUACACAAACAUUAUUUAAAGUGUUUUGUUGUUUAACGGUUCAUACUAAAAUAAAAUACAAGCAUCUAUAAGGAGAAAUCAGAUUUAUUUGGAGUUCCUGUUUCCUGUCUACAGACCCAACGUUCUUCAGGCGCAUU
Pungitius pungitius (ninespine stickleback) is the source of this 1163-nucleotide long non-coding RNA. RefSeq lists it as uncharacterized. NCBI's taxonomy places the organism in Eukaryota, Metazoa, Chordata, Actinopteri, Perciformes, Gasterosteidae. The record is from RefSeq and is a predicted model, not a curated record. The transcript is spliced from 5 exons.